GACGAACGCUGGCGGCGUGCUUAACACAUGCAAGUGGAGCGACGAACCGGGGCUUGCCCCGGGGCAGAGCCGCGAACGGGUGAGUAACACGUGGGUAACCCACCCCGAUGACCGGGACAACCCGAGGAAACUCGGGCUAAUACCGGAUGUGCUCCUUGACCUCGAGGUCAAGGCGUAAAGAUAGCUUCGGCCUUCGCAUCGGGACGGGCCCGCGGCCCAUUAGCUUGUUGGUGGGGUAAAGGCCUACCAAGGCGACGAUGGGGAGCUGGUCUGAGAGGACGAUCAGCCACACUGGGACUGAGACACGGCCCAGACUCCUACGGGAGGCAGCAGUGGGAAUCUUGCGCAAUGCGCGAAAGCGUGACGCAGCAACGCCGCGUGGGGAAG
This 387-nucleotide ribosomal RNA is filed under the name uncultured bacterium. RNAcentral describes it as "bacterial SSU rRNA". It matches the Rfam family "Bacterial small subunit ribosomal RNA", at positions 28 to 409 of the family's 1533-position model. The record is from RNAcentral.